AUGGCAGCGCCUGCCAGAGCUGGGACAGUUACUGCAGCCCCAGACAGGAAGCGCUGGCUGUGGUCAGUGCUGGCAGUGGUGCUGGGGCUCUUGACAGCUGGACUACCAGCCUUGGAAGCAUAUACACCAAAAGAAAUCUUCAUGGCAAAUGGUACAUAAGGGAAGCUGACCUGCAAGCUCAAGUCUACUAAUAUGACUGGCGGGUUGACCUCAGUCUUCUGAAGCUUCCAGCCAGAGGGGGCUGACACCACCACGUCAUUUUUCCACUAUUCCCAAGGGCAGGUGUACCUUGGGAAUUAUCCACUAUUUAAAGACAGAAUCAGCUGGGCUGAAGACCUUGACAAGAAAGAUGCAUCAAUCAACACAGAAAAUAUGCAGUCUAUAUACAAUGGCACCUAUAGCUGUGAUGUCAAAAACCCUCCUGACAUUGUUUUCCAGUCUGGACACAUUAUGCUCUAUGUUGUAGAAAAAGAGAGUUUGCCUGUGUUUCCAGUUUGGGUAGUGUGGGGCAUAGUUACUACUGUGAUCCUAGGUCUCACUCUGCUCAUCAGCAUGAUUCUGGCUGUCCUCUAUAGAAGGAAAAACUCUAAACGGGGUUACAUCAGAGAGUUUGUCACACCAGUUAAACAGGCUCCUCGGAAGUCCCACUCUGACACUGAGGGUUUUGUAAAGAGACUGCCUUCUGGAUCUCACCAGGUCCCAGUCAUAUAUGCACAGUUAGACCACUCUGGUGGACAUCAUAGUGACAAGAUUAACAAGUCAGAGUCUGUGGUGUAUGCGGAUAUCUGAAAAAAUUAAGAGAAGACCUAGAACAUAUCCUCAGCAAGAAACAAAACCAAACUGGACUCUGGUUCAGCAAAUGUAGCCCAUUACCACAUGUAGCCUUGGAGACCCAGGCAAGGACAAGUACAUGUGUACUCACAGAGGGAGAGAAAGAUGUGUACAAAGAAUAUGUAUAAAUAUUCUAUUUAAUCUUCCUGAUGUGAGGAGCCAAUGUUGCAUGAUGAAAAGAUGGUAUGAUUCUAUAUAUGUACCCAUUUUCUUGCUGUUUUUAUACUUUCUUUUCAGGUCCUUUACAAUUGGGAGAUUUCAGAAACAUUCCUUUCACCAUUAUUUAGAAAUGGUUUGCCUUAAUGGAGACAGUAGCGGAUCCUGUAGUAUUUCCAGUAGACAUGGCCUUUUAACCUAAGGGCUUAAUCAGUCUUAGCAUUUAUUGUAGUUGGAGGACGGAGAUGCUAUGAUGGAAGCAUACCCAGGGGGCCUUUAACACAGUAUCAGUACCAUUUAUUUGUUUGCAGCUUUAAAAAAGUAUCCAUUGACUAUGCCACUGGAAAACAAUUUGAGAAGUUUUUUUGAUGUUUUUCUCAUUAAAAUAUGUGGCAAUUGUUAGCCUUACAUGUUGUGUAGACUUACUUUAAGUUGCACCCUUGAAAUGUGUCAUACCAAUUUCGGGAUUCAUAAUAGCAAGAUUAGCAAAGGAUAAAUGCCGAAAAUCACUUCAUUCUGGAUACCUUUGGAUCAAUACUGAUUAAAUAGAAAAUCCAAGCUUUGCUUGAGAACUAUUGUAAUGUGGAGAGUAAAAGGUAUCGAUUUUACUCUUUGCUGAUGUCCUUUCUGCUUGAAAUAACAGUCCCCACACAGCAAAAGGAGAGGAGUUUCUUCUAAGUAGGCAGAAAUGAGAUCAUUAUAUUGUUACUCUCCAAUAUCCCAGAGUUCGCUCUCUAGAGAAUCACCUUUUGCUUUUUUUUUUUUUUUUUUUUUUUGAGGUAGAGUCUCACUGUGUUGCCCAGACUAGCCUUGAACUCUUGGGCUCAAGUGAUUCUCCCUCCUCAGCCUCCCAAGUAGCUGGAACUAUAGUUGCACCACAGCAGCUGGCAAGAAUCACCUUUAUAAUUAGUUAUGCUUCCAUCUAGAGGCAGCAUUAGUCAUGGCUUUGUAACAGCUUUAUGGUGCCUCAAAGACUGUUGAGGUUAACGAGAGCCUAAAUUAGACAGUUUGGCUGUCCUUCCCUAAAACUUGUUUUCUCCCAUUCACUACUCCCCACCCCACUUAAAAUCUAUGAGUUUUUACUUUUUACUGGGAAUGGAAAGCAUGGUGAAGAUCAUUAAACACUUAUGUUGUCA
This is an RNA transcript of Macaca mulatta (Rhesus monkey), 2123 nucleotides long. It is a transcript of the gene named myelin protein zero-like protein 1 pseudogene, with no coding region annotated. NCBI's taxonomy places the organism in Eukaryota, Metazoa, Chordata, Mammalia, Primates, Cercopithecidae. The record is from RefSeq and is a predicted model, not a curated record.